UGGGGAAUCUUGCGCAAUGGGCGAAAGCCUGACGCAGCAACGCCGCGUGUGUGAUGAAGGUCUUCGGAUCGUAAAGCACUGUCGGGAGGGACGAAUAAGGGCCGGGCCAACAUCCCGGUCCGAUGACGGUACCUCCAAAGGAAGCACCGGCUAACUCUGUGCCAGCAGCCGCGGUAAUACAGAGGGUGCAAGCGUUGUUCGGAAUUAUUGGGCGUAAAGCGCGUGUAGGCGGCCAACCAAGUCGGGUGUGAAAGCCCUCGGCUCAACCGAGGAAGUGCGCCCGAAACUAGAUGGCUUGAGUACCAGAGAGGGUGGCGGAAUUCCCGGUGUAGAGGUGAAAUUCGUAGAUAUCGGGAGGAACACCAGCGGCGAAGGCGGCCACCUGGAUGGAUACUGACGCUGAGACGCGAAAGCGUGGGGAGCAAACAGG
Molecule: ribosomal RNA, 430 nt
Filed under: uncultured Anaeromyxobacter sp.
Lineage: Bacteria; Pseudomonadati; Myxococcota; Myxococcia; Myxococcales; Anaeromyxobacteraceae
Description: bacterial SSU rRNA
Rfam family: Bacterial small subunit ribosomal RNA
Source: RNAcentral